GGAGGAUGCGAGCGUUAUCCGGAUUUAUUGGGUUUUAAGGGUGCGUAGGUGGUGAUUUAAGUCAGCGGUGAAAGUUUGUGGCUCAACCAUAAAAUUGCCGUUGAAACUGGGUUACUAGAGUGUGUUUGAGGUAGGCGGAAUGCGUGGUGUAGCGGUGAAAUGCAUAGAUAUCACGCAGAACUCCGAUUGCGAAGGCAGCUUACUAAACCAUAACUGACACUGAAGCACGAAAGCGUGGGGAUCAAACAGGAUUAGAUACCCUGGUAGUCCACGCAGUAAACGAUGAUUACUAGGAGUUUGCGAUACAAUGUAAGCUCUACAGCGAAAGCGUUAAGUAAUCCACCUGGGGAGUACGCCGGCAACGGUG
RNAcentral lists this ribosomal RNA (367 nucleotides) under uncultured bacterium. RNAcentral describes it as "bacterial SSU rRNA". It matches the Rfam family "Bacterial small subunit ribosomal RNA", at positions 527 to 896 of the family's 1533-position model. The record is from RNAcentral.